GAGGGUAUUGCUCAGUGGUACAGCACAUGCCUAGCAUGCAUGAGGUUCUGGUUUCAAUCCCCAGUAUUUCCA
This 72-nucleotide transfer RNA is filed under the name Camelus bactrianus (Bactrian camel). It matches the Rfam family "tRNA". From Rfam's summary of the family: Transfer RNA (tRNA) molecules are approximately 80 nucleotides in length. Their secondary structure includes four short double-helical elements and three loops (D, anti-codon, and T loops). Further hydrogen bonds mediate the characteristic L-shaped molecular structure. tRNAs have two regions of fundamental functional importance: the anti-codon, which is responsible for specific mRNA codon recognition, and the 3' end, to which the tRNAs corresponding amino acid is attached (by aminoacyl-tRNA synthetases). tRNAs cope with the degeneracy of the genetic code in two manners: having more than one tRNA (with a specific anti-codon) for a particular amino acid; and 'wobble' base-pairing, i.e. permitting non-standard base-pairing at the 3rd anti-codon position. RNAcentral also lists the same sequence under 2 other names. The record is from Rfam by way of RNAcentral. Lineage: Eukaryota; Metazoa; Chordata; Mammalia; Artiodactyla; Camelidae.